RNAcentral lists this ribosomal RNA (800 nucleotides) under uncultured bacterium. Its description in RNAcentral is "bacterial SSU rRNA". It matches the Rfam family "Bacterial small subunit ribosomal RNA", at positions 8 to 856 of the family's 1533-position model. The record is from RNAcentral.
AGAGUUUGAUCCUGGCUCAGAACGAACGCUGGCGGCAGGCCUAACACAUGCAAGUCGAGCGCCCCGCAAGGGGAGCGGCGGACGGGUGAGUAACGCGUGGGAAUUUUCCUCAAGGUAGGGAACAACUCAGGGAAACUUGGGCUAAUACCCUAUGAUGCAGAGAUGCCAAAGAUUUAUCGCCUUGGGAUAAGCCCGCGUCAGAUUAGGUAGUUGGUGGGGUAACGGCCUACCAAGCCUGUGAUCUGUAGCUGGUCUGAGAGGACGAUCAGCCACAUUGGGACUGAGACACGGCCCAAACUCCUACGGGAGGCAGCAGUGGGGAAUCUUGCGCAAUGGGCGAAAGCCUGACGCAGCCAUGCCGCGUGAAUGAUGAAGGUCUUAGGAUUGUAAAGUUCUUUCGCCUGUGACGAUGAUGACGGUAACAGGAGAAGAAGCCCCGGCUAACUUCGUGCCAGCAGCCGCGGUAAUACGAAGGGGGCUAGCGUUGUUCGGAAUUACUGGGCGUAAAGCGCGCGUAGGCGGUUUUGCAAGCCAGAGGUGAAAUGCCUGAGCUCAACUUAGGAAUUGCCUUUGGGACUGUGAGGCUUUGAGGACGGAAGAGGUGAGUGGAAUUCCCAGUGUAGAGGUGAAAUUCGUAGAUAUUGGGAAGAACACCGGUGGCGAAGGCGGCUCACUGGUCCGUUUCUGACGCUAAAGCGCGAAAGCGUGGGGAUCAAACAGGAUUAGAUACCCUGGUAGUCCACGCUGUAAACGAUGAGUGCUAGGCGUCGGCAGGCUUGCCUGUCGGUGCCGCAGCUAAC